Molecule: long non-coding RNA, 2804 nt
Organism: Gallus gallus (chicken)
Lineage: Eukaryota; Metazoa; Chordata; Aves; Galliformes; Phasianidae
Exons: 3
Source: RefSeq, a predicted model, not a curated record
CACCCUCUGAGUGAAAAUCUUCCUCCUAAUAUCUAACCUAAAUCUCCUGUCUUAGUUUAAAACCAUUCCCCCUUGUCCUAUCACUAUCCACCCAUGUAAACAGUCAUAUAAAUGGUGGAGGCUGAUUUUGUCAGGCUUUUUGUAAGAAUGGGUUUCUUGGACACAGUGAGAAAAAUACAUUCUUGAAUUAAAUACAGCUCUCCUCAUACUGAAGUCAUAGCAACAAAAUGACCUAACUCUCCAAUUUUACUUUUUUUUCUCCUCUUGUAGUUGUUGCUUUAAUUUCCUACAAUAUGUUAUUCUUGUUGUUUGGAAUCAUGGGGAGGAGGGAGAGAGGGGAAACCAACCUGUGUAGAAAUUAGCUUUGAGUUAUUCCAUCUGUGGACUCUUAAUUUUGUCAUGAAAACAGAGAAGCCUGGCAGGAAGCUAGCUUUUGACUGGCUUCAUGUAUCCUCUUGUCUGGAACUGGUUAAGAAAGUGUGGCAUUUAGAAUGAAAGCAAAAGCUUCAUUUCUGGAACUCUGAGUGUUUGCCCAAUUCUUUGACCAUCUGUUUUUGUUGACAGCCACCUCUUUGUGUUGUGCCAAAGUUAUUUUGGCUUUUAUAAUCUGUGUGUGUGUGUAUGUGAGUACAUGGUGGUGUGGUUGUGUGUGUCUCAUUAGGGCUUUACUUACUGAGUAUGACUGCAGGAGAUUGAAUGCUUAAAAGUAGUUACCUUGUGAGGAUUGAAUUACCAGGACAAUUACGGUGACUAACCUUGGUUUCUCUUUAGUGGGACACUCCAAUCCUGUCCAUACUGCUAUCCUUUCCAAAAGCUGUCAGAUUCUGCAGGCAUUCCUUGUAACUUAAGUUGCAUUACAGCAGUGCUCAGUAUGCAAGUACCUGCCUCAGAAGUCACUGUCAUGAUUAAUAGCAGUGAUGGAGAGCCCAACAUCAGCCUGGACAUGGAGAGCACGUCAUUCUCUUCAUUUCCAGAAGCUGGAGCUGGGGCCUAUUAGGCGGUAGUAUAGUGGAGGUGCUUGGUCACAUUAACCUCUCUUGGCUUCACUAGUCUUCCAUCCUUGAAGUCAGAAUAUAAUUAUUCACCCCCUGAAUCCUCCAUAUGCUAAUAUACCUACUACCAGUAUAUAUCAGUGAUCCAGCAGAGAAGAUGAGAUUCAGAACCCCAUCAUGGAAUUAAAAAGGCAUUAUGAAAUAUGGCUUCAAAAUCUAGUGCAUGACAUUUGUGCUUCUAGAUCAUGCUUGUGUUUCUGUACCGGAUUUGUUCUACACUGUUAUAAAGCUACAGCUUCUCCUUCUGUUGUUAUUCUGAAAGGGAGAUUGAGGUAAAAGAGAAUUUUGUGCUGCUUUCUAGACUUUGUUUUCCUAGCACUGCCUUCAGAACUCCUGCCUGGCAUGAGAGUAGGCCAGAAUAACGUGUAUAGCCCGUGACAGCAGCAAAAUGAGGCUAACAAAUAUCCUACUGAGGAUGCGGUUUGACAGCUUCAUCCAUCCAGCUGAAUUUGCAUUCAAGAGUCAAGAACUCAAAUUAUUCUCAUCAGUGGGAGCCUAUUUGAGGAAUUCGACUGUAUGACUGAAACAUCUCCUGGGCUGCUUUUCUAAACAGCACAUCGGAAUAAAAGGUUUCUUUUUUAAUUGAAGCUCUGGAAGAAUUUCUGUUCUCAGAGGCCUAUAGAAAAAGUCAGUUCAAAAAUAGAAAAAUAAAUGCAGAGAGACUGCGCAGAAAAGAAGACCUGAAAGAUGGAUGUUUUGUUGUGUUCAUUGUUGCUGAAGUAGGAAAAAAUGUGCAAAAAAAUAAAAAUAUAAACAUAAAAAAUGGCCACUUACGACUGGUUUACACUUGAAAUAUUUAAGAAGUAAGAAAAGCGUGUUCUCCAGCUCCUGAAACGUCUAUUGUGCCCAAGUAACUAUGCUAACUAUCUGUUGGUGUAAGUGGAUGCCACCUCAUGGAUUUCAGUGGCAUAUCAUCUCUUCAAACAAGCAGAGAGAGUGGAAGACAUUUGACACAAACAGAAGGAUCGUACUUGCUUAUGUAUACCUCUGUGUGCCAUUGACAUGGAAGGCUUUGACUUUAGGCCAGUGCGUGUUUGGUCAGCCAGGCGAUAGGGUAGCUCAAAAAAAUCUGAAAGCAUGAGGACAUGACAAGCUAUUCAAGGAGCAAUCGACCGUAAUUUAUUUAAAGCAAAGCGAAGACCCUGUGUAAAGUUCUCAUUUCAAUAACAGCUGAUUCAUUCUGCACGGUUUGCCUGCAGAUUUCUUCUGAGAUGAUCUCUAAGUCAGAGUAGAGCAAAAGGAAAAGGUAAGAGCCAGUUAGGUGGAAGAGUAAUUAGAGUUUUCAAGUAUUUGUCCAGUGGAACCCUUUAAUGCUUCUUGUGGAGAUGUUUAAUUUUAGAUUAUUGUCACUUCUGAAGUUCUCAACACUCACUGCUGUAAGCUGUAAAUGAACCCAGAGCCGUCAUUCUAAACCUGUUUGGAAUGGGGAAGCUGCAAUGGGCUGCUUUUCCUGCCGCACUUGAUCCAGGUGCUGCAGUUGUAUUUCUUCAUCACUGCUCUCACUGCUAGCUGACCACCUGUGGCCAUAGGAGGCAGUGAAGCCUGGCUUCCUUGAACCUGCACAUCUGACUCCAGUGGAUUUGUCUGAUGCAGCAUUGUAGGUCUCAGGUGUUAAGAUUUUCUUUCAGCACCAUUGGAAUGUAUGCAUAUAUACCUGUAUAUGAACAAAGAUGGAAAGGUGUAUGCUGUACAGCAUGGGUGCCCAACCUUCAGGCUUUCCUGGGCCACAGUGAAUGAAGAGGAAUUGUCUUG